Molecule: transfer RNA, 73 nt
Filed under: bacterium
Lineage: Bacteria
Description: tRNA-Cys
Rfam family: tRNA
About the family: Transfer RNA (tRNA) molecules are approximately 80 nucleotides in length. Their secondary structure includes four short double-helical elements and three loops (D, anti-codon, and T loops).
Source: RNAcentral
GGCCACGUGGUGAAGGGGUAACACGGGAGUCUGCAAAACUCUUACUGCGCGGGUUCGAGUCCCGCCGUGGCCU